GUGUUUCUCUGCCCUCACGGGUAGAAACGCCCACCCUUGUGUAUUAUAUAUUGUUGCUUUGGCAGGCCGCCCUCGGGCACCGGCUUCGGCUGGAUCGCGUCUGCCAGAGGAUUCCAAACUCUGAAUGUCAAUGUCGUCUGAGUACUAUUUAAUAGUUAAAACUUUCAACAACGGAUCUCUUGGUUCU
RNAcentral lists this unclassified non-coding RNA (187 nucleotides) under rhizosphere metagenome. Its description in RNAcentral is "partial ribosomal RNA internal transcribed spacer region". The record is from RNAcentral.